UGUGUACUGUUACUGUUGGAAAAUAUAAGGAGUCUGAAAAAAAAUUUUCUGAUGGGAAACGUUAGCAUAAAAAAAUUUAGGAUGAAAUUGCCAAAGUUAUGAGUAAGAAGGGGCAUAUAGUAACGGGACCACAAUGUGCAGCUGAAUUACGCAGUUUGGAAAAAACAUAUAAAUCAAUAAAAGAUGACAAUAAUAAAUCAGGAAACAAUAGAAGAACAUGGCAGUUUUUUAUGAUCAUAGACGACAUAUUUGCCAAAAAGACAUGGUAUAUCCCAGUGGCAACCGCAUCGUCUACGGGUCUAUCCAUCACACGUACCGAAGGAAGCAAUGCAGAUUCAAAGCAAUCCAAUAAACAUUAGGAUAUUCUAUGUACG
This is a long non-coding RNA of Linepithema humile (Argentine ant), 374 nucleotides long. RefSeq lists it as uncharacterized. The record is from RefSeq and is a predicted model, not a curated record. NCBI's taxonomy places the organism in Eukaryota, Metazoa, Arthropoda, Insecta, Hymenoptera, Formicidae.